GAAAUGCGAUAAGUAAUGUGAAUUGCAGAAUUCAGUGAAUCAUCGAAUCUUUGAACGCACAUUGCGCCCUUUGGCAUUCCGAGGGGCAUGCCUGUUCGAGCGUCAUUACACCAAUCAAGCCUGGCUUGGUAUUGGGCGACGCGUCCGCUCCGGUAGCGGACGGGCCCCAAAUGGAGUGUGCGGCGCGGUGCGCUUGGCUGCAGUGUAUGGGAACAUCUCACACUCGCGGUGCGUCACCACGCUCGUCUCUAGACAUCUUCUCUCGGUUUGACCUCGGAUCAGGUAGGGAUACCCGCUGAACUUAAGC
Molecule: unclassified non-coding RNA, 307 nt
Filed under: plant metagenome
Description: partial contains 5.8S ribosomal RNA, internal transcribed spacer 2, and large subunit ribosomal RNA
Rfam family: 5.8S ribosomal RNA (bases 1-105)
Source: RNAcentral